This 404-nucleotide RNase P RNA is filed under the name Lonepinella koalarum. RNAcentral describes it as "Bacterial RNase P class A". It matches the Rfam family "Bacterial RNase P class A". Rfam says of the family: Ribonuclease P (RNase P) is a ubiquitous endoribonuclease, found in archaea, bacteria and eukarya as well as chloroplasts and mitochondria. Lineage: Bacteria; Pseudomonadati; Pseudomonadota; Gammaproteobacteria; Pasteurellales; Pasteurellaceae. The record is from Rfam by way of RNAcentral.
UGAGUUGAUCAGACAAUCGCUGGUUUAUUGAAGCCCUAAAGUGUUCGUCAGAACGAUCUAGUGGGACAAAUAGACGAGAGGAAAGUCCGAGCUACACAGGGCAGAGUGCUAGGUAACGCCUAGGGGGAGCGAUCCCACGACCAGUGCAACAGAGAGCAGACCGCCCCUCACUUAGAUUAUAAAUAAUCUAGGUGAGGGGUAAGGGUGAAAGGGUGCGGUAAGAGCGCACCGCAUGGCGGGUAACCGUUCAUGGCAAGGUAAACUCCACUCGUAGCAAGACCAAAUAGGAGCUCAAUGGGUGUGCCCGCUCAGAGUUCGGGUAGGUUGCUUGAGCGUGCGUGCGAACGUACGCCUAGAGGAAUGAUUGUCCACGACAGAACUCGGCUUAUCGAUCAACUCAUUUA